Molecule: ribosomal RNA, 696 nt
Filed under: uncultured bacterium
Lineage: Bacteria
Description: bacterial SSU rRNA
Rfam family: Bacterial small subunit ribosomal RNA
Source: RNAcentral
CUAAUACAUGCAAGUCGUACGCUGAAGCGCUCUGCUUGCAGAGCGCGGAUGAGUGGCGAACGGGUGAGUAACACGUGGGCAACCUGCCUGUAAGAUCGGGAUAACUCCGGGAAACCGGGGCUAAUACCGGAUAACCCGUGCCUCCUCCUGGAGGCACGUUGAAAGGCGGCUUCGGCUGUCGCUUACAGAUGGGCCCGCGGCGUAUUAGCUUGUUGGUGGGGUAACGGCCCACCAAGGCGAUGAUACGUAGCCGACCUGAGAGGGUAAUCGGCCACACUGGGACUGAGACACGGCCCAGACUCCUACGGGAGGCAGCAGUAGGGAAUCUUCCGCAAUGGACGAAAGUCUGACGGAGCAAUGCCGCGUGAGUGAAGAAGGUCUUCGGAUCGUAAAGCUCUGUUGCCGGAGAAGAACAAGGACAGUAGUAACUGGCUGUCCCUUGACGGUAUCCGGCCAGAAAGCCACGGCUAACUACGUGCCAGCAGCCGCGGUAAUACGUAGGUGGCAAGCGUUGUCCGGAUUUAUUGGGCGUAAAGCGAGCGCAGGCGGUCCUUUAAGUCUGAUGUGAAAGCCCACGGCUCAACCGGGGAGGGUCAUUGGAAACUGGAUCACUUGAGUGCAGAAGAGGAGAGUGGAAUUCCAUGUGUAGCGGUGAAAUGCGUAGAUAUAUGGAGGAACACCAGUGGCGAAGGCGGC